GGUUAAGCGACUAAGCGUACACGGUGGAUGCCCUGGCAGUCAGAGGCGAUGAAGGACGUGCUAAUCUGCGAAAAGCGUCGGUAAGGUGAUAUGAACCGUUACAGCCGGCGAUGUCCGAAUGGGGAAACCCAGUGCAAUUCGUUGCACUAUCGUUAACUGAAUACAUAGGUUAACGAGGCGAACCGGGGGAACUGAAACAUCUAAGUACCCCGAGGAAAAGAAAUCAACCGAGAUUCCCCCAGUAGCGGCGAGCGAACGGGGAGCAGCCCAGAGUCUGAAUCAGCUUGUGUGUUAGUGGAACGGUCUGGAAAGUCCGACGGUACAGGGUGAUAGUCCCGUACACCAAAAUGCACAGGCUGUGAACUCGAAGAGUAGGGCGGGACACGUGGUAUCCUGUCUGAAUAUGGGGGGACCAUCCUCCAAGGCUAAAUACUCCUGACUGACCGAUAGUGAACCAGUACCGUGAGGGAAAGGCGAAAAGAACCCCGGCGAGGGGAGUGAAAAAGAACCUGAAACCGUGUACGUACAAGCAGUGGGAGCACCUUCGGGUGUGACUGCGUACCUUUUGUAUAAUGGGUCAGCGACUUAUAUUCUGUAGCAAGGUUAACCGUAUAGGGGAGCCGCAGGGAAACCGAGUCUUAACUGGGCGUUAAGUUGCAGGGUAUAGACCCGAAACCCGGUGAUCUAGCCAUGGGCAGGUUGAAGGUUGGGUAACACUAACUGGAGGACCGAACCGACUAAUGUUGAAAAAUUAGCGGAUGACUUGUGGCUGGGGGUGAAAGGCCAAUCAAACCGGGAGAUAGCUGGUUCUCCCCGAAAGCUAUUUAGGUAGCGCCUCGUGAAUUCAUCUUCGGGGGUAGAGCACUGUUUCGGCUAGGGGGUCAUCCCGACUUACCAACCCGAUGCAAACUACGAAUACCGAAGAAUGUUAUCACGGGAGACACACGGCGGGUGCUAACGUCCGUCGUGAAGAGGGAAACAACCCAGACCGCCAGCUAAGGUCCCAAAGUCACAGUUAAGUGGGAAACGAUGUGGGAAGGCACAGACAGCCAGGAUGUUGGCUUAGAAGCAGCCAUCAUUUAAAGAAAGCGUAAUAGCUCACUGGUCGAGUCGGCCUGCGCGGAAGAUGUAACGGGGCUAAACUGUGCACCGAAGCUGCGGCAGCGACACUAUGUGUUGUUGGGUAGGGGAGCGUUCUGUAAGCCUGCGAAGGUGGCCUGUGAGGGUUGCUGGAGGUAUCAGAAGUGCGAAUGCUGACAUAAGUAACGAUAAUGCGGGUGAAAAGCCCGCACGCCGGAAGACCAAGGGUUCCUGUCCAACGUUAAUCGGGGCAGGGUGAGUCGACCCCUAAGGCGAGGCCGAAAGGCGUAGUCGAUGGGAAACAGGUUAAUAUUCCUGUACUUGGUGUUACUGCGAAGGGGGGACGGAGAAGGCUAUGUUAGCCGGGCGACGGUUGUCCCGGUUUAAGCAUGUAGGCGGAGGUUCCAGGUAAAUCCGGUACCUUAUUAACGCUGAGGUGUGAUGACGAGGCACUACGGUGCUGAAGUAACAAAUGCCCUGCUUCCAGGAAAAGCCUCUAAGCAUCAGGUAACAUUAAAUCGUACCCCAAACCGACACAGGUGGUCAGGUAGAGAAUACCAAGGCGCUUGAGAGAACUCGGGUGAAGGAACUAGGCAAAAUGGUGCCGUAACUUCGGGAGAAGGCACGCUGAUAUGUAGGUGAAGCCCCUGCGGGUGGAGCUGAAAUCAGUCGAAGAUACCAGCUGGCUGCAACUGUUUAUUAAAAACACAGCACUGUGCAAACACGAAAGUGGACGUAUACGGUGUGACGCCUGCCCGGUGCCGGAAGGUUAAUUGAUGGGGUUAUCCGUAAGGAGAAGCUCUUGAUCGAAGCCCCGGUAAACGGCGGCCGUAACUAUAACGGUCCUAAGGUAGCGAAAUUCCUUGUCGGGUAAGUUCCGACCUGCACGAAUGGCGUAAUGAUGGCCAGGCUGUCUCCACCCGAGACUCAGUGAAAUUGAACUCGCUGUGAAGAUGCAGUGUACCCGCGGCAAGACGGAAAGACCCCGUGAACCUUUACUAUAGCUUGACACUGAACAUUGAGCCUUGAUGUGUAGGAUAGGUGGGAGGCUUUGAAGCGUGGACGCCAGUCUGCGUGGAGCCAACCUUGAAAUACCACCCUUUAAUGUUUGAUGUUCUAACGUUGGCCCCUGACCGGGGUUGCGGACAGUGUCUGGUGGGUAGUUUGACUGGGGCGGUCUCCUCCCAAAGAGUAACGGAGGAGCACGAAGGUUAGCUAAUCCUGGUCGGACAUCAGGAGGUUAGUGCAAUGGCAUAAGCUAGCUUGACUGCGAGCGUGACGGCGCGAGCAGGUGCGAAAGCAGGUCAUAGUGAUCCGGUGGUUCUGAAUGGAAGGGCCAUCGCUCAACGGAUAAAAGGUACUCCGGGGAUAACAGGCUGAUACCGCCCAAGAGUUCAUAUCGACGGCGGUGUUUGGCACCUCGAUGUCGGCUCAUCACAUCCUGGGGCUGAAGUAGGUCCCCAAGGGUAUGGCUGUUCGCCAUUUAAAGUGGUACGCGAGCUGGGUUUAGAACGUCGUGAGACAGUUCGGUCCCUAUCUGCCGUGGGCGCUGGAGAAUUGAGGGGGGCUGCUCCUAGUACGAGAGGACCGGAGUGGACGCAUCACUGGUGUUCGGGUUGUCAUGCCAAUGGCAUUGCCCGGUAGCUAAAUGCGGAAGAGAUAAGUGCUGAAAGCAUCUAAGCACGAAACUUGCCCCGAGAUGAGUUCUCCCUGAGACUUUAAGUCUCCUGAAGGAACGUUAAAGACGAUGACGUUGAUAGGUCGGGUGUGUAAGCGUAGCGAUACGUUGAGCUAACCGAUACUAAUGAACCGUGAGGCUUAACCUU
This 2906-nucleotide ribosomal RNA is filed under the name Klebsiella aerogenes. Its description in RNAcentral is "23S ribosomal RNA". It matches the Rfam family "Bacterial large subunit ribosomal RNA". The record is from RNAcentral. Lineage: Bacteria; Pseudomonadati; Pseudomonadota; Gammaproteobacteria; Enterobacterales; Enterobacteriaceae.